Aedes aegypti (yellow fever mosquito) is the source of this 672-nucleotide long non-coding RNA. RefSeq lists it as uncharacterized. The record is from RefSeq and is a predicted model, not a curated record. The transcript is spliced from 2 exons. Lineage: Eukaryota; Metazoa; Arthropoda; Insecta; Diptera; Culicidae.
UUUAGUAUUUUUUUUUAAAUCUUUAACAUUGUCAAGGAUAUAUUAUUAUCACAAUAUUAAUCUCUUUCUUUUGGUAUUUUAACUCAAUUUGUAUAUAUUGCCCCUUUCAUGAGAUCUGAUCAGAGCCCUCCGAAGCCUAAGCCCGCCACUGCCGAUAAUAGAUAAUAAUGUUUUAUGCACUCAAAAUAAUCCAAACGUCAUUGCUACGUGAAAAAUCACGUAGAUCAUUCCAAAUUCAUUUUGCCUCAUCUUCACCUGACCAAGGUAAUUAUAACUAGAGCAUAUAUAAUCACCAAAUGGAGUCCGGAUGAUUGUUACCGAAGCUACCCGUCGCACUUACGUGAAAAUCACGUAGGCAAUUAAAUUCAUUUUGACACCGCGUUCAUUCUCUGUUUUGACAUCGCGUGCAUUCUCAGUUCAAUUUUUAAAAUGGUGGCCGCUUGUUUUUCCAGGAGUUGCUGGACUUUAAAACAACCUUUGGAUUGAUUUCAUGCUUACGAAACAUAGAACAGCAAAUCCGAACAAAUUUGUGUAUGUUCUAAUGCAGUUGGACCAUGGAUGCCACCGUGUCGGUCAGUGGGUAUUGGACAUUGAUUCACACCAUCAAUUGAAAACAAUGUUAAUACAUUGUAUUCGCAAUAACGAUUGAAUGCAAUAAAUAAUUGAAUUCUU